This 1607-nucleotide long non-coding RNA is filed under the name Mytilus galloprovincialis (Mediterranean mussel). Lineage: Eukaryota; Metazoa; Mollusca; Bivalvia; Mytilida; Mytilidae. The record is from RNAcentral.
GUUUCUAUAUACUUUUGUAUGUAGAAUGGGAGAUAAUUGGCCACUUCCGGUUUGUUGGAAGUCAUUUUUAGUCUUCAGUAAUUUGUUCAUGUAUCUAUAUGAAAAAAUAUAUGGAUUCUGAGUACUUUUAUGUGAAAAAAUUGCAAAAAAAGCUACUUCCGGUUUUCUCAAGGUCACUUCCGGUAGCCAUUUUUCAAGGUCAUUUGUCACUUAACCUUUUGUAUCAGGUCAAAUGUCUUUAUAAUGAACUUACUUGAAGUUAUAAUCAAAUAACCUCAUAUCAAGACAUUUCAGGGGCGACAACUCCUAUAAGAUGCCAUCUAAUUGUAUAAGACUAAAUGUAGCAUAUCUUCAUUACAAUUAAGCAGACAUUUUGCACUUGUUCUUUUAUAUGUAUCUCUCAAAGUGAGUGAGAAAAUGCAAAAACAAGCAAAAGUCACAAUUGAGAACUUGACCUUGACCUUUGACCUUGACCUCAUUUUCUAAGUUAGGACCUAGGGGACUCAAAUAAAAACAUUCCAGGGUUAUACGGUUAAUCUGUUUAAUGAGUUAAAUAAACAUACCGACAAAUUUAUUUUGUAAAGGUAGAUAACUCCUAUAAAAUUUCAUCGAAUCGCUUCGAUCCAAAUACGCCAAAAAUUACUGAGGAUGUAACGAACAAUUUGUAAAAAGAAUUUUGUCGCUAUCUUUUUUUGUUACGAAGGAGAUACGCUUUGAUGAUAAACAGUGAAAAGGGAGAUAACUCUUACAAAGAAAAUGGUUCGUCUUAGCAGGGUGAAAUUUAAAAGCGCAUAAACUAUACGAUACAAUAUGAGAAAUAUCUAAGCGACAUAUUGCGAAACAAACAUUUAUCGCAAGAACAAAAGUUGGCGGAAAAAAAAAAAAAAAUAAUAAUAAUAUAAAUCAAUUGCUUUAAAAAGCAAUUGUAGGGGGUCUUUCCCCUUUAAAAUUAAUUGAAUGGGGGGGGGUUGUUUGUUUGUUUGUUUGUUUGUUUGUUUGUUUGUUUGUUUGUUUCUGUAUGGGGUCUAUAUUAUUGUUACCGGAGAAGUUUCAUGUUUAGUUUGGAAAGUUUUUCUUUUAUUUUAGGUACAGCGCGCGCGCCACAUCACGUGACACGGGAUUAUAAUAACGAAAAGAUAGUCUUUUUAUUCCUUUUUAGGUGGGGACUUUGAACAGACAACAUGUAUAGAGACGGAAUGCACACAAUGUAAUUUCUUUUGUCAUUGUAGGAAAUUGACAUUUUGAUGACAGUUCACAAGCAGUGCAUGAUUUGGAUUUAUUUGAUCCGGUGUAACUUUAAAACACAUUUAUUGAUUAUUUUCUGAUAAUGUACAUUUUUCAGCACCUGUUUGUAACACAGAUUAGUAUUUCAAUCUCGGAGCGGACAUUUUAUUGUAGGCUUUUACUGAAAAUUUACGGACCUAGCAAGCAAUUUUUACGGCAUUGCAAUUUCUUUUCUCUAGGAAAAGCUUUGAGAGAUAUCUGCACCAAGUUUUUUUAUAAACUUUUAGUACAUGUAUGCCCUGCUGACUGCAAAUUUUGAGGUCGAUUGUAUUUGUAGUUUCAGAGUACAUGUGGAUUUUUUUUUCAGAAGUGACGCAAGAACA